CAGUCGCCGCGGUAAUACGGAGGGAGCUAGCGUUGUUCGGAAUUACUGGGCGUAAAGCGCGCGUAGGCGGUUACUUAAGUCAGAGGUGAAAGCCCGGGGCUCAACCCCGGAACUACCUUUGAAACUAGGUGACUAGAAUCUUGGAGAGGUCAGUGGAAUUCCGAGUGUAGAGGUGAAAUUCGUAGAUAUUCGGAAGAACACCAGUGGCGAAGGCGACUGACUGGACAAGUAUUGACGCUGAGGUGCGAAAGCGUGGGGAGCAAACAGGAUUAGAUACCCCCGUAGUCCCUGUCUCUUAUAC
RNAcentral lists this ribosomal RNA (301 nucleotides) under uncultured bacterium. RNAcentral's name for it is "partial 16S ribosomal RNA". It matches the Rfam family "Bacterial small subunit ribosomal RNA", at positions 509 to 807 of the family's 1533-position model. The record is from RNAcentral.